Long non-coding RNA from Cyprinus carpio carpio, 1042 nucleotides. Lineage: Eukaryota; Metazoa; Chordata; Actinopteri; Cypriniformes; Cyprinidae. The record is from Ensembl.
GGGUACAUCACAAGCCACAGGUUUAUUAGCCUUAAAUUUAAAUGAUAAAACAUUAAAUAAACUGUUAAAAAUGAAGAGUAUUUUGGUUAUCUGCUACCACUGUGAACUUGAAGGGAGCUGAUUUUAAGACAAGUAGGCUACUCUCAAGGAAAUAUUUUGUGAGUUAUUAAAAUAACUGAAAACUGGCUGAGGGGAAAAAACAGUUAUUUUGACAAAAGCAUGUGUUUUUGCAGAUUAAACUUGUUUUGAUAUUUUGUUAUCCAAUACGAUGACAUUCACAGGUGUUUCACUGGGGCUACUGUAAAUAAGCAACAUCGUAUUAGUAACUUAUUAUUUCUACAACACAUAAUUCGUUCGCAUUCGACCUUUUACAGAGGCCUCACUGAACUCUGACUCAACCAGACGUUACAAUUAAACCGCACUGCGUGAAUGAGCGCGCGCACGCACUGAAGACGCCGCGUGCUCAAGGAGCCACAAUAAACAAUCUUUGCGGAAAUCCUAAACACACCUGUAGUCCUCAGCACUAUAUGAUGCGGCUUAUAACCAUCUUAACGUAAUAACAGACUCCUCAAGGCCUAUACGUUUUAUUUCCUCUAGACUGUAAUACACUAAAAUACAUUUGAAAUAACAAAUAGGUUUAAAACAUGGCAACGCUGCUAUAACAGUUUGUCUUUCUCAACACAGGGCCAGAAUCAGAAAAUGACAUCUAAAAAAGCAGAGUUUACUGAGAGAAGCGUCUCAUCAGAUCAUUGAUCAGCAGCAUGUUUAGAGAUCUCAGCAACUGCAGACUUUUCUGGAGAGACUGAGCGCAGGUCUGCCGCACCGAGACGGCCUCUUCUCUUCGUGCGUGGGCAAGAGCUGAAAUCAUAAUGUGAUUUGUUGUGCUUGGGAGCCAAUUUGAGUCUUUUUGGGAGAGAUCCCUGCCCGGUCGCCCACUUGUGCGCUUUGUGAGGAGACCUUAAUUAGAGAAGCUCAAAUAUAUAGACACUUUUGAUUAUAGCUGAUCUUGAGUUGUAAAAGGAUGACAUUGCCUAGAAGGGGG